Molecule: ribosomal RNA, 253 nt
Filed under: uncultured bacterium
Lineage: Bacteria
Description: partial 16S ribosomal RNA
Rfam family: Bacterial small subunit ribosomal RNA
Source: RNAcentral
UACGGAGGGUGCGAUCGUUAAUCGGAAUUACUGGGCGUAAAGCGCGCGUAGGCGGUUCGAUAAGUCAGAUGUGAAAUCCCCGGGCUCAACCUGGGAAUGGCAUUUGAUACUGUCAGACUAGAGUGUGGUAGAGGGAAGUGGAAUUCCGCAUGUAGCGGUGAAAUGCGUAGAUAUGCGGAGGAACACCAGUGGCGAAAGCGGCUUCCUGGACCAACACUGACGCUGAGGUGCGAAAGCGUGGGGAGCAAACAGG